Molecule: ribosomal RNA, 494 nt
Filed under: uncultured bacterium
Lineage: Bacteria
Description: partial 16S ribosomal RNA
Rfam family: Bacterial small subunit ribosomal RNA
Source: RNAcentral
GACGAACGCUGGCGGCGUGCCUAAUACAUGCAAGUCGAGCGGACUUAAAAAGCUUGCUUUUUAAGUUAGCGGCGGACGGGUGAGUAACACGUGGGCAACCUGCCUGUAAGACUGGGAUAACUUCGGGAAACCGGAGCUAAUACCGGAUAAUCCUUUUCUACUCAUGUAGAAAAGCUGAAAGACGGUUUACGCUGUCACUUACAGAUGGGCCCGCGGCGCAUUAGCUAGUUGGUGAGGUAACGGCUCACCAAGGCGACGAUGCGUAGCCGACCUGAGAGGGUGAUCGGCCACACUGGGACUGAGACACGGCCCAGACUCCUACGGGAGGCAGCAGUAGGGAAUCUUCCGCAAUGGACGAAAGUCUGACGGGGCAACGCCGCGUGAGUGAUGAAGGUUUUCGGAUCGUAAAACUCUGUUGUUAGGGAAGAACAAGUACGAGAGUAACUGCUCGUACCUUGACGGUACCUAACCAGAAAGCCACGGCUAACUACGUG